RNAcentral lists this ribosomal RNA (217 nucleotides) under Chaetodon kleinii (sunburst butterflyfish). RNAcentral's name for it is "partial 16S ribosomal RNA". Lineage: Eukaryota; Metazoa; Chordata; Actinopteri; Chaetodontiformes; Chaetodontidae. The record is from RNAcentral.
GCCUAACAGCUAGUCCACCCAACCAACAACAAACUACGCAACCCUAUUAAUACCCCCUAAUAACGCACACAACAAUGCUAAACAAAACAUUUUUCCCCUUUAGUAUAGGCGAUAGAAAAAGAUACCCGGAACAACAGAGAGAGUACCGCAAGGGAAAGCUGAAAGACACGUGAAAUAGUAUCACAAGCCUAAAAAAGCAGAGAUUUAAACUCGUCUU